CAGCCGCCACGGUAAUACGGAGGGUGCAAGCGUUAUCCGGAUUCACUGGGUUUAAAGGGUGCGUAGGCGGGCAGGUAAGUCAGUGGUGAAAUCUUCGAGCUUAACUCGGAAACUGCCGUUGAUACUAUCUGUCUUGAAUAACGUUGAGGUGAGCGGAAUAUGUCAUGUAGCGGUGAAAUGCUUAGAUAUGACAUAGAACACCGAUUGCGAAGGCAGCUCACUAAACGCUCAUUGACGCUGAGGCACGAAAGCGUGGGGAUCAAACAGGAUUAGAUACCCCAGUAGUCCCUGUCUCUUAUAC
Molecule: ribosomal RNA, 301 nt
Filed under: uncultured bacterium
Lineage: Bacteria
Description: partial 16S ribosomal RNA
Rfam family: Bacterial small subunit ribosomal RNA
Source: RNAcentral